This 194-nucleotide ribosomal RNA is filed under the name uncultured bacterium. RNAcentral's name for it is "partial 16S ribosomal RNA". It matches the Rfam family "Bacterial small subunit ribosomal RNA", at positions 338 to 524 of the family's 1533-position model. The record is from RNAcentral.
CCUACGGGAGGCAGCAGUGGGGAAUUUUGGACAAUGGGGGCAACCCUGAUCCAGCCAUGCCGCGUGCGGGAAGAAGGCCUUCGGGUUGUAAACCGCUUUUAGUCGGGAAGAAAAGGCGGGGGCUAAUACCCCCUGUUUUUGACGGUACCGGCGGAAUAAGCACCGGCUAACUACGUGCCAGCAGCCGCGGUAAU